AAUAUUUUUAUUUUAUAGUUUACAAUUGUUAUUAAAUAACGUCCUUCCAAACCCGUUCCGCCAAACUCGUCCUGUAAAAAAAACCGCGGUACCCCGUUAAUUUAAAUUUAUAAUUAAAAUAAAUAUUUUACGGGAUUGCAAUUGUGUUUUAGUUUGUCAAACAAAAUUUUGUUUUAAAUAGUUGUCGAAAUCUAGUUCAAAUUUUGGAGAAAUAAGAUUUAGUGAAUUGAUAAGAAAUAUAUUUAGUUGCGUUUUGCUCAUUUUAAGGGAUUGCAAUUGUCUUUUGGGUUGUCAAACAUUUUUUGUUUUAAAUAGUUGCCAAAAUUUUGUUCAAAUUUUGGAAAAAUCUGCGUGAUAUAUGGGAUUGGAAUAUAUUUGGAAUGUUUUCGUUUGUUAAUCAAUUUAUUGCUGAAAAACCCAAUAAUUAAAAGCCAGUGACAGCCAUCGUAAAUAAGUUCCAACUCCAUGAUUUAUUUCACAAAAUGGCUGCAAAAAUGUAUAUAUAGAUUAUUUUCUAAUCUUCCGGGAAGUUUGUUUGUCUCCCAACACCAAUAAGUCACCAUUCGGG
This 568-nucleotide small RNA is filed under the name Arabidopsis thaliana (thale cress). RNAcentral describes it as "ATSL053520". Lineage: Eukaryota; Viridiplantae; Streptophyta; Magnoliopsida; Brassicales; Brassicaceae. The record is from RNAcentral.